Molecule: transfer RNA, 65 nt
Filed under: Candidatus Fimenecus excrementavium
Lineage: Bacteria; Bacillati; Bacillota; Clostridia
Also listed under: 6 other names
Rfam family: tRNA
About the family: Transfer RNA (tRNA) molecules are approximately 80 nucleotides in length. Their secondary structure includes four short double-helical elements and three loops (D, anti-codon, and T loops). Further hydrogen bonds mediate the characteristic L-shaped molecular structure. tRNAs have two regions of fundamental functional importance: the anti-codon, which is responsible for specific mRNA codon recognition, and the 3' end, to which the tRNAs corresponding amino acid is attached (by aminoacyl-tRNA synthetases). tRNAs cope with the degeneracy of the genetic code in two manners: having more than one tRNA (with a specific anti-codon) for a particular amino acid; and 'wobble' base-pairing, i.e. permitting non-standard base-pairing at the 3rd anti-codon position.
Source: RNAcentral
ACUGUGGCUCAGUUGGUAGAGCAGCUGAUUCGUAAUCAGCAGGUCGGCGGUUCGAGUCCGCCCAG